GUUUGGCGAUCAACAAUCUUUUUCAGUAUUAUUAUUAAGUUCCAUUUCAAAUUCUUGAAAUUAAAAACUGAGCAGUCUUGCAAAAAGUGCCCUCAAAAUGUUGUUAUAAUUUCAUGAACGUUUGAAGGGGUUCUGUUAAUUUUUUUCCAUUCGACCCACAUUUCUAAGUAACUUGAAUUUUGAGGGACAUUGUUUUUCAACAUUGAUUAAAUUAUACGUGGGUUACUCUGAAGACAAGUUACUUUACCUUUGCGGCCUUGUAGUUGUGUCCUUUUUUCCCCUUAACGUUGUUUAUCUGGUAAACGAGUUUGUCAUUUCAAAUGUCACAAAAAUCAAUGUGAUAAUGUUUUUAUUGGUUUUUCCAGGAAAUGUUUUCAGUAGUAAAGAAACUGUUUGAUGAAAGUUAUGAAGUGGACGCGGUUCCUAAUAUCUGGAUCAUCAAUAAACAUGAAAUGAAAUACCCCUGUGAGUCUGCUUUAAUGGCUCUGAAAUUAGCGUCCAAAGCCAUCCCAAUGGAGACGAAUUAUGAAAUUGUCAACAUUGAAAUUGUCAAAUCAACCUAUGAAACAUUUGAAGCAGCAUACGAUGACUGUAUUCGCCUAACACGCAAUAGAAAAUCUAAAUCUUCCUCCGAAGGAGAGGAGAGAGGAAGAGGACGGAGGGUGAAGAAAAAAAAAGUUGUAACAGACUACGAAACCAGCGAGGAAGAGGAACCUGAAGUAGUGCCUACACGGAAAGAGAAGAAGAAUGUUGAGACAAAAGAGCUCGGUCCGCCGCCAAAACCCCCCCAACCUAAGCCCUCAACAUGCGAAGGAGAAGUAAAGUCUACUAGCUCAGUAACUCCAACUCCUAAACCUAAUUCGAUUUUAAAUCGGAGAAUUCAUUUGAAAAAAUCAUCGGCUAGAGAUGAAUCGAUCGCUUUGAAAGGCUCCGCUGAACCAUCGCAAUUGGAACAGCCAAUCUCAGAAUCUGCAGAGCAGUCGAGCAAUUAUCAAUUGAGUCCAGAAAUUUCUGAAUUAAAUGGUGACUCAGGUACUUUCAUGUUGUCAGAUGGUCCCUCAGAUCUUGAAUCACCCCGCAAAUCAACACCGAUGGUUAAACAAAAUUUGUUCAAACCGGUGAAAGUGAUCAGAUGCAAACUGGGAAAAAAACUAAACACAAUUGCCCCCUACGCCUCCAAUGCUCUGCAGAGAGGCCAUUAUGCAUACCCUAUGCGCCCUUUCUGGUAA
This 1229-nucleotide long non-coding RNA is filed under the name Bemisia tabaci. RNAcentral describes it as "lncRNA ENSSSA1NGG008255". The record is from RNAcentral. Lineage: Eukaryota; Metazoa; Arthropoda; Insecta; Hemiptera; Aleyrodidae.